UUGUUUAUUCGUUAGGUCU
This 19-nucleotide small nuclear RNA is filed under the name Arabidopsis thaliana (thale cress). RNAcentral's name for it is "snRNA_03228". The record is from RNAcentral. Lineage: Eukaryota; Viridiplantae; Streptophyta; Magnoliopsida; Brassicales; Brassicaceae.